CAAGAUACACAGGAUCCCUGUGAGCUACAAAUGCUUUUCUUGUGGCCUAGAUUGUGGUUGCCAGUGUCUGCUCCACAGGCAUCUUUGCGGCAGUACUUAAGCCCUCACCAUCUUUCACUACCAACCACACAUCCAG
This 136-nucleotide long non-coding RNA is filed under the name Pongo abelii (Sumatran orangutan). RNAcentral describes it as "lincRNA". Lineage: Eukaryota; Metazoa; Chordata; Mammalia; Primates; Hominidae. The record is from RNAcentral.